RNAcentral lists this transfer RNA (72 nucleotides) under Anaerolineales bacterium. RNAcentral's name for it is "tRNA-Cys". It matches the Rfam family "tRNA". From Rfam's summary of the family: Transfer RNA (tRNA) molecules are approximately 80 nucleotides in length. Their secondary structure includes four short double-helical elements and three loops (D, anti-codon, and T loops). Lineage: Bacteria; Bacillati; Chloroflexota; Anaerolineae; Anaerolineales. The record is from RNAcentral.
GGCGACGUCGCCAAGUGGUAAGGCAAGGGUCUGCAAAACCCUUAUACGUGGGUUCAAAUCCCACCGUCGCCU